RNAcentral lists this ribosomal RNA (1120 nucleotides) under Salmonella enterica subsp. enterica serovar Mikawasima. RNAcentral describes it as "bacterial SSU rRNA". It matches the Rfam family "Bacterial small subunit ribosomal RNA", at positions 1 to 1116 of the family's 1533-position model. Lineage: Bacteria; Pseudomonadati; Pseudomonadota; Gammaproteobacteria; Enterobacterales; Enterobacteriaceae. The record is from RNAcentral.
AAGAGUUUGAUCAUGGCUCAGAUUGAACGCUGGCGGCAGGCCUAACACAUGCAAGUCGAACGGUAACAGGAAGCAGCUUGCUGCUUCGCUGACGAGUGGCGGACGGGUGAGUAAUGUCUGGGAAACUGCCUGAUGGAGGGGGAUAACUACUGGAAACGGUGGCUAAUACCGCAUAACGUCGCAAGACCAAAGAGGGGGACCUUCGGGCCUCUUGCCAUCAGAUGUGCCCAGAUGGGAUUAGCUUGUUGGUGAGGUAACGGCUCACCAAGGCGACGAUCCCUAGCUGGUCUGAGAGGAUGACCAGCCACACUGGAACUGAGACACGGUCCAGACUCCUACGGGAGGCAGCAGUGGGGAAUAUUGCACAAUGGGCGCAAGCCUGAUGCAGCCAUGCCGCGUGUAUGAAGAAGGCCUUAGGGUUGUAAAGUACUUUCAGCGGGGAGGAAGGUGUUGCGGUUAAUAACCGCAGCAAUUGACGUUACCCGCAGAAGAAGCACCGGCUAACUCCGUGCCAGCAGCCGCGGUAAUACGGAGGGUGCAAGCGUUAAUCGGAAUUACUGGGCGUAAAGCGCACGCAGGCGGUCUGUCAAGUCGGAUGUGAAAUCCCCGGGCUCAACCUGGGAACUGCAUUCGAAACUGGCAGGCUUGAGUCUUGUAGAGGGGGGUAGAAUUCCAGGUGUAGCGGUGAAAUGCGUAGAGAUCUGGAGGAAUACCGGUGGCGAAGGCGGCCCCCUGGACAAAGACUGACGCUCAGGUGCGAAAGCGUGGGGAGCAAACAGGAUUAGAUACCCUGGUAGUCCACGCCGUAAACGAUGUCUACUUGGAGGUUGUGCCCUUGAGGCGUGGCUUCCGGAGCUAACGCGUUAAGUAGACCGCCUGGGGAGUACGGCCGCAAGGUUAAAACUCAAAUGAAUUGACGGGGGCCCGCACAAGCGGUGGAGCAUGUGGUUUAAUUCGAUGCAACGCGAAGAACCUUACCUGGUCUUGACAUCCACAGAAGAAUCCAGAGAUGGAUUUGUGCCUUCGGGAACUGUGAGACAGGUGCUGCAUGGCUGUCGUCAGCUCGUGUUGUGAAAUGUUGGGUUAAGUCCCGCAACGAGCGCAACCCUUAUCCUUUGUU